GACGAACGCUGGCGGCGUGCCUAACACAUGCAAGUCGAACGAGAAUCACAUAACGGAUUCCUUCGGGGAGAAGAUAUGAGAGGAAAGUGGCGGACGGGUGAGUAACGCGUGGAUAACCUGCCUCAUACAGGGGGAUAACAGCCGGAAACGGCUGCUAAUACCGCAUAAGCGCACGGUACCGCAUGGUACAGUGUGAAAAACUCCGGUGGUAUGGGAUGGAUCCGCGUCUGAUUAGCCAGUUGGCGGGGUAACGGCCCACCAAGGCGACGAUCAGUAGCCGGACUGAGAGGUUGAACGGCCACAUUGGGACUGAGAUACGGCCCAGACUCCUACGGGAGGCAGCAGUGGGGAAUAUUGGGCAAUGGGGGAAACCCUGACCCAGCAACGCCGCGUGAAGGAAGAAGGCUUUCGGGUUGUAAACUCUUUUACCAGGGACGAAGGACGUGACGGUACCUGGAGAAAAAGCCACGGCUAACUACGUG
This 482-nucleotide ribosomal RNA is filed under the name uncultured bacterium. RNAcentral's name for it is "bacterial SSU rRNA". It matches the Rfam family "Bacterial small subunit ribosomal RNA", at positions 28 to 507 of the family's 1533-position model. The record is from RNAcentral.